AUUUUAACUUAGACAAAAUUUCCAGCUUUCCAGAUUUUUUUCUCUUGUUCUCUCUUGGCUAUGAAACAACCCUAUAAUUCCACAAGGGUUCUUGGGAUUGACCUUCCUUCCAAUCUAAAGGGAUUAAGCUAUUGAGGAAAUACACAUUAAGACACUAAAAUACCAAGGAAAUCAAGGUAUGGUUGCUGUCCACUUUUGUCCUUUUUUCAUAUACAUGUGUUGAUAGAGGAUUGCACAUAUUGGGUUGCUAUUAAAGGACGAUUGGGUGUUGUUGCGGACUGUUUUAUGUGUUUGUGUUGUGGGCUGCCCGAUUGCUAUUGGUAAAAGGUGUGAUUAGUUUUUAUUGAAUUAUAUAAUAUGGAUGUGGUGAUACACCACUGAAUUUAUGAUUGUGUAUGUCUAUUGCUCAUUUCGUUUUGUGUGUGUUGAUUGGAAGGUGAAAUGAAGCCGAGGUUGUAUCGGGGGAUAUUAUAUGAAUAUGUAUGGUAUGCAGCUGUAAUUGGAGUAUAAGAGGGUUAAAGAGACACCCUUUUUUGAUAAAUUAAGGGCUUACUUCCCGGCCACUAGUUUGGUGAAGUUAAAUAGCCAAAAUGUGACGUUUGGUUGCUAAUAUUAGUUUGCCAUAUAUUUCAUUGUAGAUAAGUAAUCUAAAGUGCGAGAAGUCGAGUUGGGCUGGUAUUGGAGUUUUACAACCAGGCACAGGUGCUUCGGCAAACAUGCCUCCUCAGUAGGAGCCCAGGAUAUCCAUCUGCUAUUAGUGAGCUCCAGUUUGCUUCGGGGGUUUCCGAGUUGGUUCCAUAUAUUUUUGGUAUUGUAUAAAAGUUAAUAGUAUGGCGGGGGUUUGUCCCGACCUUAGCUAAAUUUUGUGUAUCGUCUAGAGGCUUUGUAGACCAAUGUAAAGUUAAGCAUGGUAGUGUGUUAUCUUGUAGAUGUUAUGGCCCCAACGGCCAAGUCUAUUAUGUAUAUAAUUUUAGGGCUUGUCGUUUAUAUUUUUUUUCAUUAAGACAUUAUAUCCGUAUAUGGCAAAACCUUUGCC
Long non-coding RNA from Capsicum annuum, 1036 nucleotides. RefSeq lists it as uncharacterized. Lineage: Eukaryota; Viridiplantae; Streptophyta; Magnoliopsida; Solanales; Solanaceae. The record is from RefSeq and is a predicted model, not a curated record. The transcript has 3 exons.